This 250-nucleotide long non-coding RNA is filed under the name Elaeis guineensis (African oil palm). Its description in RNAcentral is "long non-coding RNA (EGUI_LNC008571)". Lineage: Eukaryota; Viridiplantae; Streptophyta; Magnoliopsida; Arecales; Arecaceae. The record is from RNAcentral.
GGUCCAACAUGUGUCUUCGGUGGACACAAGGUAGAUCAUACUCUCCAUGCCUGACCCCUACCUAGACUAGGGAGUAGGGGAUAUAUGUUAUCGAGUAAAGCUCUAGUGCCCGAUCCGAAGACAUAAAUGAACUUCGAUCAUGGCCGAUCUAUGCAUUGGCCACCAAUCCUCACAUUGGCUGUCGACCUUACAUGGGCUUUUGACUUCUCACCAGCAUCUUCGCUUGUAAGUCAUUGAUCUGUGCUUGAGC